RNAcentral lists this small nuclear RNA (152 nucleotides) under Xenopus tropicalis (tropical clawed frog). Its description in RNAcentral is "U4 spliceosomal RNA (ENSXETG00000035231.2)". The stretch from base 1 to 65 matches the Rfam family "U4 spliceosomal RNA". The record is from Rfam by way of RNAcentral. Lineage: Eukaryota; Metazoa; Chordata; Amphibia; Anura; Pipidae.
AGCUUUACGCAGUGGCAGUAUCAUAGCCAAUGAGGUCCAACCGAGGCGUGAUUAUUGCUAAUUGUGCUGAAGCUUGAUGAAAGCGGAGGAGCUGUGUUCCCAUUAGGGAAGAGCUGCUGACUUAUUUUUUGUUGGGGGCUUCGCACAUGCUC